Molecule: ribosomal RNA, 266 nt
Filed under: uncultured bacterium
Lineage: Bacteria
Description: partial 16S ribosomal RNA
Rfam family: Bacterial small subunit ribosomal RNA
Source: RNAcentral
GUCCACGCCGUAAACGAUGAGUGCUAGGUGCUGCGGGUAUUGACCCCUGCGGUGCCGUAGCUAACGCGUUAAGCACUCCGCCUGGGGAGUACGGCCGCAAGGCUAAAACUCAAAAGGAAUUGACGGGGGCCCGCACAAGCGGUGGAGCAUGUGGUUCAAUUCGACGCAACGCGCAGAACCUUACCUGGGUUAAAUCCACUCGAAGUUGGUAGAGAUACCGAUGUGCCUUUCGGGGAGCGAGUGAGAAGGUGCUGCAUGGCUGUCGU